GGCAUUUAGUCUUCCUGGACAUGCUUGUGAGGAUUCAAAGAGAAAACCUCUGCAGGGGUGUUUAAAGGUCAGUGCUGUAGAUACUCAGCAUCUGGCAUCUUGGCUUCCUGCUUGUUAAACCUGGCAUUUUUACUGAUAGAGUA
This is a small nucleolar RNA of Callithrix jacchus (white-tufted-ear marmoset), 143 nucleotides long. The record is from Ensembl. Lineage: Eukaryota; Metazoa; Chordata; Mammalia; Primates; Cebidae.